RNAcentral lists this ribosomal RNA (609 nucleotides) under uncultured Tomentella. Its description in RNAcentral is "eukaryotic LSU rRNA". The stretch from base 183 to 337 matches the Rfam family "5.8S ribosomal RNA". The record is from RNAcentral. Lineage: Eukaryota; Fungi; Basidiomycota; Agaricomycetes; Thelephorales; Thelephoraceae.
GUUGUUGCUGGUCCUCAACGGGGACAUGUGCACGCUCUGUUUACACAUCCACUCACACCUGUGCACCCUCCGUAGUUCUGUGGUCUGGGGGACCCUGUCUUCCUGCCGUGGUUCUACGUCUUUACACACACACUGUAAUAAAGUCUUAUGGAAUGUAUGCCGCGUCUAACGCAAUACAAUACAACUUUCAGCAACGGAUCUCUUGGCUCUCGCAUCGAUGAAGAACGCAGCGAAAUGCGAUAAGUAAUGUGAAUUGCAGAAUUCAGUGAAUCAUCGAAUCUUUGAACGCACCUUGCGCCCCUUGGCUAUUCCGAGGGGCAUGCCUGUUUGAGUAUCAUGAACACCUCAACUCUCAUGGUUUGCCGUGAUGAGCUUGGACUCUGGGGGUUUUGCUGGCCUGCGGUCGGCUCCCCUCAAAUGAAUCAGCCUCCCAGUGUUUGGUGGCAUCACGGGUGUGAUAAAUAUCUACGCUCGCAGUUGUCCGCCAGGUAACCUUUGGUAACAAAGGUUCGCUGGAGCUCACAGAUGUCUCUCCUCAGCGAGGACAGCUUUUUGAACGUUCGAUCUCAAAUCAGGUAGGACUACCCGCUGAACUUAAGCAUAUCAAUA